RNAcentral lists this transfer RNA (69 nucleotides) under Scotonycteris zenkeri (Zenker's fruit bat). RNAcentral's name for it is "tRNA-Trp". Lineage: Eukaryota; Metazoa; Chordata; Mammalia; Chiroptera; Pteropodidae. The record is from RNAcentral.
AGAAACUUAGGUUAGCUAUAGACCAAGAGCCUUCAAAGCCCUAAGCAAGUGUAAUACACUUAGUUUCUG